Gadus chalcogrammus (walleye pollock) is the source of this 725-nucleotide long non-coding RNA. RefSeq lists it as uncharacterized. The transcript is spliced from 3 exons. The record is from RefSeq and is a predicted model, not a curated record. Lineage: Eukaryota; Metazoa; Chordata; Actinopteri; Gadiformes; Gadidae.
CAAAAAAAUGAUUUUUUGCCAUAAUAAACUUUAAGCUUAACAUUUAAAUUAAACCUGUUUAAAGUAAAUACAUCAUAUAUUAUAUUCAUCCAUAUUCAUUAAAUACAACAUAAACCAGUUCAAUAGGAAAUUAAAUCUGAUUUAUUCACAUUAAGUCUAUUUAAUCGUUUCACUGGAAUUCAUUGGAUCCACCUGAAGCACGCGGGCACACCACUCUUUCAUUCCCGAAUAGACCUCGUGCUGAUGAAUGGACCGAGUUUGGUAUUCUCUCUUUGGAUUUACUUUGUGAAAACCAGGGCAACCUCUUAAUAGUUUGAUGAUGACGACCUAAUUUGAGCUCAGCGUUAUUCUUGUAAUUUAGUGCUCUUCAGAUCACACUAACAGUUGCCUCUGGAUCAAUCUCCUAAUCUACUAAUGUGUACAACUGUCAAUAAAUGUAUUUGUUUUUUAUUUCUUUUCCAAAUUCCUUUCCAGGCUCCUUGUUCUCGUAAUAAAUAUGGAUAAUUGCUCUAAUGUAUGUCCUACCUUCUUAUUUCUUCGCAAAAUGAUAUUUAACUUGUGUUUUUGUAAACAGUGAUAGCUGAAUUUCAGCAGAAUACGAAAACUGAGGUACAAUGAAGACUAUUUAAGCCCAAAAGUUAAAAUGUAUGCAUUUCAAUUACAUGACAAUUUUCCAUCUAUUUUGAUCACAUAACUCCAAUGUAAAAAAUGACAUUUCAAUCCAU